Molecule: ribosomal RNA, 717 nt
Filed under: Enterococcus gilvus
Lineage: Bacteria; Bacillati; Bacillota; Bacilli; Lactobacillales; Enterococcaceae
Description: bacterial SSU rRNA
Rfam family: Bacterial small subunit ribosomal RNA
Source: RNAcentral
GAUCGGCCACAUUGGGACUGAGACACGACCCAAACUCUUACGGGAGGCAGCAGUAGGGAAUCUUCGGCAAUGGACGAAAGUCUGACCGAGCAACGCCGCGUGAGUGAAGAAGGUUUUCGGAUCGUAAAACUCUGUUGUUAGAGAAGAACAAGGAUGAGAGUAGAAUGUUCAUCCCUUGACGGUAUCUAACCAGAAAGCCACGGCUAACUACGUGCCAGCAGCCGCGGUAAUACGUAGGUGGCAAGCGUUGUCCGGAUUUAUUGGGCGUAAAGCGAGCGCAGGCGGUUUCUUAAGUCUGAUGUGAAAGCCCCCGGCUCAACCGGGGAGGGUCAUUGGAAACUGGGAAACUUGAGUGCAGAAGAGGAGAGUGGAAUUCCAUGUGUAGCGGUGAAAUGCGUAGAUAUAUGGAGGAACACCAGUGGCGAAGGCGGCUCUCUGGUCUGUAACUGACGCUGAGGCUCGAAAGCGUGGGGAGCAAACAGGAUUAGAUACCCUGGUAGUCCACGCCGUAAACGAUGAGUGCUAAGUGUUGGAGGGUUUCCGCCCUUCAGUGCUGCAGCUAACGCAUUAAGCACUCCGCCUGGGGAGUACGACCGCAAGGUUGAAACUCAAAGGAAUUGACGGGGGCCCGCACAAGCGGUGGAAGCAUGUGGUUUAAUUCGAAGCAACGCGAAGAACCCUUACCAGGUCUUGACAUCCUUUGACCACUCUAGAGAU